AUACGUAGGGGGCAAGCGUUAUCCGGAUUUACUGGGUGUAAAGGGAGCGUAGACGGCAAAGCAAGUCUGAAGUGAAAGCCCCGGGCUCAACCCGGGAAUUGCUUUGGUAACUGUUUAGCUAGAGUGCAGGAGAGGUAAGCGGAAUUCCUAGUGUAGCGGUGAAAUGCGUAGAUAUUAGGAGGAACACCGGCGGCGAGGGCGGAUUACUGGACUGUAACUGGCGUUGAGGGUCGAAAGCGUGGGGAGCAAACAGGAUUAGAUACCCUGGUAGUCCACGCCGUAAACGAUGAUUACUAGGUGUUGGUUGUCAUAGACAAUCGGUGCCGCAGCAAACGCAAUAAGUAAUCCACCUGGGGAGUACGUUCGCAAGAAUGAAACUCAAAGGAAUUGGCGGGG
Molecule: ribosomal RNA, 396 nt
Filed under: uncultured bacterium
Lineage: Bacteria
Description: partial 16S ribosomal RNA
Rfam family: Bacterial small subunit ribosomal RNA
Source: RNAcentral